RNAcentral lists this ribosomal RNA (1274 nucleotides) under Enterococcus faecium. RNAcentral describes it as "bacterial SSU rRNA". It matches the Rfam family "Bacterial small subunit ribosomal RNA", at positions 183 to 1444 of the family's 1533-position model. Lineage: Bacteria; Bacillati; Bacillota; Bacilli; Lactobacillales; Enterococcaceae. The record is from RNAcentral.
AAACCGCAUGGUUUUGAUUUGAAAGGCGCUUUCGGGUGUCGCUGAUGGAUGGACCCGCGGUGCAUUAGCUAGUUGGUGAGGUAACGGCUCACCAAGGCCACGAUGCAUAGCCGACCUGAGAGGGUGAUCGGCCACAUUGGGACUGAGACACGGCCCAAACUCCUACGGGAGGCAGCAGUAGGGAAUCUUCGGCAAUGGACGAAAGUCUGACCGAGCAACGCCGCGUGAGUGAAGAAGGUUUUCGGAUCGUAAAACUCUGUUGUUAGAGAAGAACAAGGAUGAGAGUAACUGUUCAUCCCUUGACGGUAUCUAACCAGAAAGCCACGGCUAACUACGUGCCAGCAGCCGCGGUAAUACGUAGGUGGCAAGCGUUGUCCGGAUUUAUUGGGCGUAAAGCGAGCGCAGGCGGUUUCUUAAGUCUGAUGUGAAAGCCCCCGGCUCAACCGGGGAGGGUCAUUGGAAACUGGGAGACUUGAGUGCAGAAGAGGAGAGUGGAAUUCCAUGUGUAGCGGUGAAAUGCGUAGAUAUAUGGAGGAACACCAGUGGCGAAGGCGGCUCUCUGGUCUGUAACUGACGCUGAGGCUCGAAAGCGUGGGGAGCAAACAGGAUUAGAUACCCUGGUAGUCCACGCCGUAAACGAUGAGUGCUAAGUGUUGGAGGGUUUCCGCCCUUCAGUGCUGCAGCUAACGCAUUAAGCACUCCGCCUGGGGAGUACGACCGCAAGGUUGAAACUCAAAGGAAUUGACGGGGGCCCGCACAAGCGGUGGAGCAUGUGGUUUAAUUCGAAGCAACGCGAAGAACCUUACCAGGUCUUGACAUCCUUUGACCACUCUAGAGAUAGAGCUUCCCCUUCGGGGGCAAAGUGACAGGUGGUGCAUGGUUGUCGUCAGCUCGUGUCGUGAGAUGUUGGGUUAAGUCCCGCAACGAGCGCAACCCUUAUUGUUAGUUGCCAUCAUUCAGUUGGGCACUCUAGCAAGACUGCCGGUGACAAACCGGAGGAAGGUGGGGAUGACGUCAAAUCAUCAUGCCCCUUAUGACCUGGGCUACACACGUGCUACAAUGGGAAGUACAACGAGUUGCGAAGUCGCGAGGCUAAGCUAAUCUCUUAAAGCUUCUCUCAGUUCGGAUUGCAGGCUGCAACUCGCCUGCAUGAAGCCGGAAUCGCUAGUAAUCGCGGAUCAGCACGCCGCGGUGAAUACGUUCCCGGGCCUUGUACACACCGCCCGUCACACCACGAGAGUUUGUAACACCCGAAGUCGGUGAGGUAACCUUUU